AGUGAACGCUGGCGGUAGGCCUAACACAUGCAAGUCGAACGGCAGCACAGUAAGAGCUUGCUCUUACGGGUGGCGAGUGGCGGACGGGUGAGGAAUACAUCGGAAUCUACUUUUUCGUGGGGGAUAACGUAGGGAAACUUACGCUAAUACCGCAUACGACCUACGGGUGAAAGCAGGGGAUCUUCGGACCUUGCGCGAUUGAAUGAGCCGAUGUCGGAUUAGCUAGUUGGCGGGGUAAAGGCCCACCAAGGCGACGAUCCGUAGCUGGUCUGAGAGGAUGACCAGCCACACUGGAACUGAGACACGGUCCAGACUCCUACGGGAGGCAGCAGUGGGGAAUAUUGGACAAUGGGCGCAAGCCUGAUCCAGCCAUACCGCGUGGGUGAAGAAGGCCUUCGGGUUGUAAAGCCCUUUUGUUGGGAAAGAAAAGCAGCAGGUUAAUACCCCGCUGUUCUGACGGUACCCAAAGAAUAAACACCGGCUAACUUCGU
This 491-nucleotide ribosomal RNA is filed under the name uncultured bacterium. Its description in RNAcentral is "partial 16S ribosomal RNA". It matches the Rfam family "Bacterial small subunit ribosomal RNA", at positions 29 to 506 of the family's 1533-position model. The record is from RNAcentral.